AUUGAACGCUGGCGGCAUGCCUAACACAUGCAAGUCGAGCGGUAGCGCGGGGCUUGCUUUUCUUGCGAGCGGCGGACGGGUGAGUAAUGCCUAGGAAUCUGCCUGGUAGUGGGGGAUAACGUACCGAAACGGGCGUUAAUACCGCAUACGACCUGCGGGAGAAAGCGGGGGACCUUCGGGCCUUGCGCUAUUGGAUGAGCCUAGGUCGGAUUAGCUAGUUGGUGGGGUAAUGGCUCACCAAGGCGACGAUCCGUAGCUGGUCUGAGAGGAUGAUCAGUCACACUGGAACUGAGACACGGUCCAGACUCCUACGGGAGGCAGCAGUGGGGAAUAUUGGACAAUGGGCGAAAGCCUGAUCCAGCCAUGCCGCGUGUGUGAAGAAGGUCUUCGGAUUGUAAAGCACUUUAAGUUGGGAAGAAAGGUUGUGGAUUAAUACGCUGCGAGGUUGACGGUACCGACAGAAUAAGCACCGGCUAACUCCGUG
Molecule: ribosomal RNA, 484 nt
Filed under: uncultured bacterium
Lineage: Bacteria
Description: partial 16S ribosomal RNA
Rfam family: Bacterial small subunit ribosomal RNA
Source: RNAcentral